This 73-nucleotide transfer RNA is filed under the name Burkholderiales bacterium. RNAcentral describes it as "tRNA-Phe". It matches the Rfam family "tRNA". From Rfam's summary of the family: Transfer RNA (tRNA) molecules are approximately 80 nucleotides in length. Their secondary structure includes four short double-helical elements and three loops (D, anti-codon, and T loops). The record is from RNAcentral. Lineage: Bacteria; Pseudomonadati; Pseudomonadota; Betaproteobacteria; Burkholderiales.
GCCCAAAUAGCUCAGAUGGUUAGAGCACGGGACUGAAAAUCCUGAGGGAGAGGUUCAAUUCCUCUUUUGGGCA